GCUGUUACCACAAGAUGAGCAGAGAAGAAAGCAGUGCAAGUCUGCUUCACUGGUGACAGGUAAACAGAGGUUAGGACAGUCCACUCACUGGUCACUCCCAUGACAAGGUGAAUGAAUAUUAGACUCUGACA
Camelus dromedarius (Arabian camel) is the source of this 131-nucleotide small nucleolar RNA. The record is from Ensembl. Lineage: Eukaryota; Metazoa; Chordata; Mammalia; Artiodactyla; Camelidae.